RNAcentral lists this ribosomal RNA (264 nucleotides) under uncultured bacterium. RNAcentral's name for it is "partial 16S ribosomal RNA". It matches the Rfam family "Bacterial small subunit ribosomal RNA", at positions 88 to 354 of the family's 1533-position model. The record is from RNAcentral.
CCGGCGACCGGCGCACGGGUGAGUAACACGUAUGCAACCUGCCCGUCUCAGGGGGAUAAUCGUCGGAAACGGCGUCUAAUACCCCGUAUGGAGCUGGACGGCAUCGUCUGGUUUUGAAAGAAUAUCGGAGACGGAUGGGCAUGCGGCGCAUUAGCUAGUUGGCGGGGUAACGGCCCACCUAACCGACGAUGCGUAGGGGUUCUGAGAGGAAGGUCCCCCACACUGGUACUGAGACACGGACCAGACUCCUACGGAAGGCAGCAG